This is a non-coding RNA of Camellia sinensis, 2176 nucleotides long. The record is from RefSeq and is a predicted model, not a curated record. NCBI's taxonomy places the organism in Eukaryota, Viridiplantae, Streptophyta, Magnoliopsida, Ericales, Theaceae.
AGAACCUACCAAUUUCCAACCAAUCCCUCGUUUAACUCCGAGGCAAGACAAUCUUCUCCAAGGCACAAUCCAUUUUUUUUUUAAAAAGGAAAAACUUUUUAGCACAUUGGUAUAAUUAUUAGUACCAAUUAUUAGUAUAUGAAAUGAAAGUCUCUCUCCUCUUUCAUUCAUUCAGACUUCUUGUUAUGUUAGCUAAGAUCGAUCAAAACGAACCUCUUCUUUUUCUCUAUCGUCAUCUCUACGAACCCUAGCUCUUCACUCUCUCUGUGCUUCGAUCAAAGCUCACAUUUUUAAACUUUGAGUAUGGCUUCCGGAUCAUCGGGUCGUAACAACUCUGCUUCGAAAGGGUUUGAUUUCGCCACCACCGAUGACAUUGUUUCCUCGCAUGAGGACUACGACAAUGAGGAUAAUUAUAAUGGAACGCACUCUGAUUCCGUGAUCGGAUCCAAUUCUGCUAAGCUUUGAAGAGCAAUGCAGUGGUCCAGAGAACAAUGCAAUGACGAUAGAUAUAGGAACACGGAGUUAUCAGCUUUUGGGAAGUGCUUGCGUGGAUUGAGUGCUCUUAAUAUUGAUGCACUUGGGCAUUCCAUUUGAUUGAACAUUGGGUUUUGUAUUUUACUUUCAAUAUUCCUUUAUAUUUCCGUUGUGCAGUUUAUAUUGUUGUAAUGGAUUAGGGUGUUUUUGUUUCAAUUUUCAUCAGGGAGAUAAUGUACCCCCUCCUUUAACAUUAUUUGAAGCUACUGGUUUUCCUUAGUUGGUAUUAAUUCUUCAUUUUAACAUUGCAUUUUUAAUUUAUAGUCACGUUUUUACAUUCGAGAACCAAAUGAAAGCCUUUAUAUUCUCUCUCAUUUAUUAUUGUUGAUUUGAAACAUUUAAAGUAUGGAGAACUUCAUGUGAUUUCAAGUCUUGCUACACUUAGGGUAAUAUUGUUCCUAGUUUUAUUUUUUCUACUUUAACCAAAUAAGUGAGAUUUGAAAAGUAACCUGUUAUUUAGGAAAUUAAUUAAUGUCCUUUGAAUACCAGGGAAAAUGAGCAGCUAUCCAAGUAUGGUGACACUAAAACAGCUCGUAGCAUAAUGUUGAUAGAGCUUAAAAUACUUAUAGAAGCAAAUCCUCUUUUCCGCGAAAAGCUUGUUUUCCCUACUUUAAAGUCAUCAAGAUUGUGGACUCUGAUCAAUCAAAGUCUGAAUUGGUAGCACCAACUUUGUAAAAAUCCUAGGCCAAAUCCAGACAUAAAGACUUUGUUCAUGGACCAUACUUGCACACCUCCAAAUGGGGUUCUUGCACCUACUUCUGUUUCUCUUCCACCUGUUGAAGUUGCGAAGCCUACUGCUUAUCUAUCACUUGGAGCACAUGGUCCCUUUCUGCCUGCUGCAGCAACUGCUAAUGCUAAUGCCUUAGCAAGUUGGAUGGUGAAUGCUACUGCUUCUUCAUCCGUUCAUGCGGCUGUUGUUACUGCAUCUUCCUUACCUGUUCCACCAAGUCAAGGAAUAUUGUAGAUGCUAUGCUGGUGGACUGUUUGGUGUGUACUUUGCUCUGCUGCAACAGGUGGCAGCAUAGGAGAUAUUCACUUGAUAGCAUGACCUUUCAUCCUCUAUAUUUGAUCCUUGCUGUCAACUUUUGCUUAUGCGUAUCUUAGUGACUAUUUUUUUUGAAGUGAUUCACUUAUUCUUUUGGACAGGUUCAAUCUUGAAACGUCCAAUAACACCACUAGCCACUCUGGUUAUGGUUGAUUAUCAGAGCACUGAUCAUGAACAAUUAAUGAAAUGUCUGCGACCAGCACAAUCCGUUGAAGAGUUGGUUCUGCUACUGGUGAAAUAACACUCUGGGAAGUGGGGAUGCGAGAUAAAUUGGUUUCAAAGCCAUUCAAGAUAUGGGACAUCACAAAUUGUUCUAUGCCGCUUUAGGUUCCUUUUCAUCUCUUUGUGCUGCUUCAUUUUUAUUACUUUCCUUUUCUUUAAAAAAAAAAAAAAAAAAAAAAAAAAAUCAUUCAAAAAAAAAACCUUGUUGCUUGUUAUCUUAGCGUUCUAUGAUGUGAUAUAUACCUAUGAUAUGAGAUAUUUAUGUAGGUUGUAAACAGCAUGUAUAAAUUAAUUGUGACCAGAUUUUUUCUUGCUUGAUUUGGGGACAUUUAUAAUACUAAUCUUCAACUAGCUGUUGUCAAAUAUUAAUUUUUU